GGUGACCCUGGGGACAGUGGGAGGUGUCUCUGGGGACAGUGGGGGUGACCCUGCCAUGGCUGGGGUGGGAUGGGACAGGAUUUUUUCCCUUUCCCUUCCUCUGUGGAUGCUUUCAUGGAUAUUUUUAUAAAGUCAGGGAUUUAGGGCAGUGCAAACACAGCAGUCCCCUCCCGUGUUCACACAGAGUUGCUCCCCAAACACCUAAACCUGCCCCACCCAUUUAUGGACCAUCAGGGCCCAGAGUGAAAUAAAAGCUGAAAUUUGGGAAAUUUUUGCCCAGGACCUGUCUGGGCUGGGGUUUUUCUGUUUUCCUGCCCUGCACACAAGGAUCUCUUGGUGCAGACAGCACUUGCUCCCCGUGAAUGGGCAUCAUUCAGAGUCCUCCAUAAAUGAAGCCUCUAUGGCUGUUCUUGCGGGGAAAAUAUAAAGUUGCUCUGUGUCAUUCUGCUGUUAAUUAGCAAAGAUAAAUACAUUUCAGGUGGGAAUUUUCACCAGCACAGCUCGUGGCACAUAAGCAGCAUUAAAGCCUUGGAAAGAGGGCGAGAGGCAAAGGCCCCCGAGAAGGAGAACACUGGAGUCAAUAUUUCAGGAGGAAAAUGUGCAUUUCGAGCUCUUCCCCAGCCUGACUGCAAGCCCUGGACCAGAAAUUCUUCUCCAAGGGGAUCUGGAGGGUGCCUGAGUUCCACAGUAAACACAGCCCUGCUGCCCUCCAGCCUCCAGAAAGCUCCAAGGUUUUACAAAAUGCUCCAAAACUUCUGCCUAUUUCUGGCUGCCUUUGAUGUUCCAGGGAUGGAGGGACCCCCUCCCAACCUCCUGCAUCCCCAUUUCCCACCCUGGCAACACGGAAUGCCAGCAGUGGGGGCAGAACAUCAUCCAACAAAUGAUGCUGGGGAGGCAGGAGUGGCUUGGAAAAUAACCCCUGCACCGAGUCAGGAUCAAAGGAAUUUCUGUUUAUCCAAAGGGCUGGCAAAUAUCCCUGGGGCUGCUGCUGGAAAUAGCAAAAGCUGUUUAUGGCUGGGCCUUGUUUGUGUGUUUUAUGGGUCACACUGAUUUCACAGGGAUCGCUUUUUGUUUGUUUUUGUUUGCUCCCCGUGCCCGCACCUUCCCCUGGGACCGAGCUCCCUCCUGGGCACGGUUCCUGCCUCUCCUGCUGACCUCUGCAGGGCUCUGCUCCUCCAUCCACGCCUGGAAUUCUCCUCCUGUGCAAUUCCUGCCCCUGGGGCUGUUUCUGUGCUGGAAACGGCCGGGGUGGCUCCAGAGCUUUGGGCGAUUUUGGGUGUCACUGCAGGAAAAAAGGUCUGAAGGUGCUGGAGAGCGCCCAAGAAGGGACACGGAGAUG
This 1339-nucleotide long non-coding RNA is filed under the name Parus major (Great Tit). Its description in RNAcentral is "lncRNA (ENSPMJG00000007223.1)". The record is from RNAcentral. Lineage: Eukaryota; Metazoa; Chordata; Aves; Passeriformes; Paridae.